RNAcentral lists this ribosomal RNA (406 nucleotides) under uncultured bacterium. RNAcentral describes it as "partial 16S ribosomal RNA". It matches the Rfam family "Bacterial small subunit ribosomal RNA", at positions 30 to 526 of the family's 1533-position model. The record is from RNAcentral.
AUUGAACGCUGGCGGCAGGCCUAACACAUGCAAGUCGAACGAGUGGCGGACGGGUGAGGAAUGUCUGGGAAACUGCCUGAUGGAGGGGGAUAACUACUGGAAACGGUAGCUAAUACCGCAUACCAACCACUGGUCCCGGGUGGGAUUAGCUAGUGGGUGGGGUAACGGCUCACCAAGGCGAAGAUCCCUAGCUGGUCUUAGAGGAUGACCAGCCACACUGGAACUGAUACACGGUCCAGACUCCUACGGGAGGCAGCAGUGGGGAAUAUUGCACAAUGGGCGCAAGCCUGAUGCAGCCAUGCCGCGUGUAUGAAGAAGGCCUUCGGGUUGUAAAGUACUUUCAGCGGGGAGGCGUUACCCGCAGAAGAAGCACCGGCUAACUCCGUGCCAGCAGCCGCGGUAAUUC